UCCCCGUUAACCGGGGCAGUCCCCCUAGAGUUCCCGGCAUGACCCGUUGGCAACUAGGGGCGAGGGUUGCGCUCGUUGUGGGACUUAACCCAACAUCUCACGACACGAGCUGACGACAGCCAUGCAGCAUCUGUGCGCGCUCCCUUGCGGGUCCUCGGCCUUUCGACUCCGUACCACGCGCAUGUCAAGCCCAGGUAAGGUUCUUCGCGUUGCGUCGAAUUAAACCACACGCUCCGCUGCUUGUGCGGGCCCCCGUCAAUUCCCUUGAGUUUUAGCCUUGCGGCCGUACUCCCCAGGCGGGGCACUUAGUGCGUUAGCGACGGCACGGGAGGAGUCGACACCUCCCACACCUAGUGCCCAUCGUUUAUGGCCAAGACUAC
Molecule: unclassified non-coding RNA, 380 nt
Filed under: uncultured bacterium
Lineage: Bacteria
Description: contains 16S-23S intergenic spacer region
Source: RNAcentral